RNAcentral lists this ribosomal RNA (551 nucleotides) under uncultured archaeon. RNAcentral describes it as "bacterial SSU rRNA". It matches the Rfam family "Archaeal small subunit ribosomal RNA", at positions 325 to 879 of the family's 1478-position model. The record is from RNAcentral.
UCGGGGUGCCCAGGCGCGAAAACUUUGCAAUACACGAAAGUGUGACAGGGUCAUCCCGAGUGCCGACCGCUGAGGUUGGCUUUUACCCAGUCUAGAAAGCUGGGGGAAUAAGGAGAGGGCAAGUCUGGUGUCAGCCGCCGCGGUAAUACCAGCUCUCCGAGUGGUGUGGACGUUUAUUGGGCCUAAAGCAUCCGUAGCUGGCUGAACAAGUCCCCUGUUAAACCCACCGAUUUAAUCGUUGGUCUGCGGGGGAUACUGCUCGGCUAGGGGACGAGAGAGGCAGACGGUAUUCCCGGGGUAGGGGUGAAAUCCUAUAAUCCCGAGAAGACCACCAGUGGCGAAGGCUGUCUGCUAGAACGCGCCCGACGGUGAGGGAUGAAAGCUGGGGGAGCGAACCGGAUUAGAUACCCGGGUAGUCCCAGCUGUAAACGAUGCAGACUAGGUGUUUGGACGGCCACGUGCCGUUCUAGUGCCGCAGGGAAGCUGUUAAGUCUGCCGCCUGGGGAGUACGAUCGCAAGAUUGAAACUUAAAGGAAUUGGCGGGGGAGCAC